GAUGAACGCUGGCGGCGUGCCUAAUACAUGCAAGUCGAGCGAACAGACGAGGAGCUUGCUCCUCUGACGUUAGCGGCGGACGGGUGAGUAACACGUGGAUAACCUACCUAUAAGACUGGGAUAACUUCGGGAAACCGGAGCUAAUACCGGAUAAUAUAUUGAACCGCAUGGUUCAAUAGUGAAAGACGGUUUUGCUGUCACUUAUAGAUGGAUCCGCGCCGCAUUAGCUAGUUGGUAAGGUAACGGCUUACCAAGGCAACGAUGCGUAGCCGACCGGAGGGGGGGAUAGGCCCAACUGGAAUGGGAGACGGGCCCGAACUCCAACGGGGGGAAGAAGGGGGAAAAUUUGCGAAAGGGGGGAAAGCUUAACGGACCAACCCGGGGGGGGGGAUAAGGGCUUUGGGUUGGAAAACCUUUUUUUUUGGGAAAAAAAAAAGGAGGAAAAAACUACGCAGUUCUUGAGGGACCCAAAUAAAAAAGCCAGGGCAAAUUAGUG
This 496-nucleotide ribosomal RNA is filed under the name uncultured bacterium. Its description in RNAcentral is "partial 16S ribosomal RNA". It matches the Rfam family "Bacterial small subunit ribosomal RNA", at positions 28 to 507 of the family's 1533-position model. The record is from RNAcentral.